CAGUCGCCGCGGUAAUACGGAGGGGGCUAGCGUUGUUCGGAAUUACUGGGCGUAAAGCGCACGUAGGCGGCUUUGUAAGUUAGAGGUGAAAGCCCGGGGCUCAACCCCGGAAUUGCCUUUAAGACUGCAGGGCUAGCAGGUGAGAGAGGUGAGUGGAAUUCCGAGUGUAGAGGUGAAAUUCGUAGAUAUUCGGAAGAACACCAGUGGCGAAGGCGACUGACUGGACAAGUAUUGACGCUGAGGUGCGAAAGCGUGGGGAGCAAACAGGAUUAGAUACCCCCGUAGUCCCUGUCUCUUAUAC
Molecule: ribosomal RNA, 301 nt
Filed under: uncultured bacterium
Lineage: Bacteria
Description: partial 16S ribosomal RNA
Rfam family: Bacterial small subunit ribosomal RNA
Source: RNAcentral